AAAUACAUACGUGGUAAAAUGGCUCAAUAGCCACAGGACGUUUCAUCAAUAUAUAUGAAAACCGGCACACACAGUUACAUUACCCUUAACCCAACAGGAUGUCAUCCAGAUUAAAUUUAGUGAUAAUUUCUGGACAUUUCCAUAUGUUGUACUAACACAGAACAGUAACACAGAGUAGACUGUAUCAACUUGAAACCGGGCCAGUGCAAUAUAGUAAAUGGUAAAUGGACCUGUACUUGUAUAGCGCCUUUCUAGUCUUCCGAGCACUCAAAGCGCUUUUACACUACGUGCCACAUUCACUCUUUCAUACACAUUCACUCAUUAAUGGCAAAGUCCAAGGAACAGAAACUAACACAGUCCUACACAUUCACACACCGAUGAAUAGCACUGGGAGCAAUUCGGGGUUGAGUAUCUUGCUCAAGGAUACUUAGACAUAUGGCGGGAGGAGCCAGGGAUCGAACCAACAACCUUCCGAUUAGUGGAUGACCCGCUCUUCCCACAGCCGCCCUAUGAAGACCUUUGCAUGAAAAGUUUUGUAAAUCACUGAAUGACAUGUCCUUGACGUGGUGUCAAAUUUAAAAGUAUAACCGUGUACAUGGUUCAACCCCCCCAUAUGGCACAUAUUUGAUUCCAAGCCUGAACACAUCUCAAUCUGUAACUGAGGUUAUACAUCAUCCAUCGUAUUGGUAGCUCCUCAGUGCUACUGAGUUUAGCUUCAUUUCUACCGUCAAUAUUAAUUCAAUAACUGCUUCUAAAGCAAAAACUUCACCAGCGGACAUGUUAGAGCGGGAGUCUGACCUGAAAUCACGGAGAAAUGAACAACAUCAACAAUCAGGAUUACAGCUUUCUGUGACGUUUUCCUCAGGUACAGCAGUGAGCAGUGACCUACAGUCUACACAGCCCAGUGAAGUUAAACAUAUUAUAUAUUACAUAAUAUUAACAACAUUAGUCAAGCAGUUGUUUCUAGUGAAGAAACAGCCAGUAAAUGUACCAAAGUAAUCAGAGUAAUAGUAUAAUGAUUACUGUAACCUCCCAUCUGUUAUAUUCUUUAUACACAUUAGUUUACUGAGACCAUGGAAACCUGGAAUACUUUAUCCUGUACAACAUGUCAACAUAACUGAAGGAAUUACUCAUCUAAUAAAGUAAAUUGUUUAUGGGGUUGAAAAACUGCUAAGUAACCAACUGUUAACUGUACUGUAUCCAUAUUUCAUAGUCUGAUAUUUUAACUUAAAAGUAUUAUUACCAAAGUUAACCUUCAGAUAUUUGUAAAAGCUGCAAUUAUGUUUAAACCCCAUUAAAAAUACUGUAUACUGAAUAUUCUAUCAUUUAUAUUAUAUAUUGUGAUGUAAUUUAUCUUCCAACAUAAUAAAGUUUGAAUGUGAGACAGUAA
Dicentrarchus labrax (European seabass) is the source of this 1390-nucleotide long non-coding RNA. RefSeq lists it as uncharacterized. The record is from RefSeq and is a predicted model, not a curated record. NCBI's taxonomy places the organism in Eukaryota, Metazoa, Chordata, Actinopteri, Moronidae. The transcript has 3 exons.